Long non-coding RNA from Rhopilema esculentum, 1364 nucleotides. RefSeq lists it as uncharacterized. NCBI's taxonomy places the organism in Eukaryota, Metazoa, Cnidaria, Scyphozoa, Rhizostomeae, Rhizostomatidae. The record is from RefSeq and is a predicted model, not a curated record.
UGGGCGAGAUAUAGCCAAUAAAAGAUUUCAAAUUGCUAGCAGAUUACUGUCACUCUGAUCUGGUUCAAGACCAGAUUAUAGAGGUUUGAUGGGGAAAAGCCUGUGCUUAAUGAGCCAUGUCUUAGCCAAUUUGUAACAUUAAAGGCUCUUGCGCAACCAGCAUGUCUAGCGACAGCUGUCUUGAGAAAUUGAUUGUGUUUUGCAUUUUCAUGCAGUACGAAAUUAGGCCAGUUUUGAAAAUAUUGUCCCAAAGCAUGCCGGUUGCGCAACAGCCUUUAAAAUGAGUUUGCACAUUUCGAAGUAUUUUAUAAUGUUUUCUUAGGUUAUAUGGUUAAAGUUGAAACAUUCUACAAAUAUGUAUUUUGAGACACCAUCACUCCGGUAGUCUAGGUUCCAAUUGUAUAUUGCUAAGGAAUGGGGAAACUGAAAAAAGUCAAUGACAAAAAUACUGUUGGUGUUCCAAGAGUUUUGGGAGACAUGGUAAAUUUUUAUAGAAAUAAAUAAGUUACUUUAUCGUGGAAACUGCUCCUUUGAUAGCUCGUACAAUGCCCAUUCGGAGUAUUGCUGCAUUUUUACUUUUUCUGUGCUUCGAGGAUCAGCCUCAUUUUUUGUGUUCUGGUCUCCAGAGAGUUCCGUGGUUUUCACAAUUGAGAGGCUGAAGGAUGAAGCAGUUCGAGCAGAGAAGGUUUUUCUAACGUCGUUUACGAAAGAUAUAGGUAUCAAGUUGAAAAAGAAGACAAAUAAGAAGAUCAAACAUGGACAAAAACUUGCUGUGAACAAGGACAAACAGUUUAAUUUUCGAAUUUGGAUUCUUUAACUUAAAAGAGCAUCAUGAAAUACCUCUACACAUGCCAAAUCAGAAGCAAGGCUGAUUUCAUUCUCCUAAAAGACCUCGGAACGUGAACAAGAUGCAAAGCACAGAAAAGGCACAAACGGUGAAAAAAUGCCAUAAAUGAAGCAUUUUUCAUGUGACACUUCUCGGACUAAAAAAGGCGGAUAACGCUUAGAAAGAUUCUGGCAAGGUAAAAUAUAUUGGAAAAACAAAAGCUAUGGAAGGAACAUAUAUUUACACCAACCAAAAGGUAUUUAUUAAUGUUCUUAUGCCAGUCUGUAGCAUUAUUAAGAAAGUUAUGAUUAUAUGAAAAUUUGAAGAAAAAGUAAGGCUAUUGGCUUGGGAAAUUUGUCGAUAAUUAAGCAAAGAUUUUUGCCACAAAAUUCCCCAACCCUGUUUAAAACACGAUUUUCCACUAGUCAAAACCAUUCACUGUCUCUCUUUUGCCGGUCUAUAACACUAUUAGGAACUUUUUGAUCCUGUCAAUUUUCUAAGAAGAAGUAAGGCUAUAGGCUUAGAAAAUUGUUCGAUA